Molecule: unclassified non-coding RNA, 329 nt
Filed under: soil metagenome
Description: partial contains 5.8S ribosomal RNA, internal transcribed spacer 2, and large subunit ribosomal RNA
Rfam family: 5.8S ribosomal RNA (bases 1-120)
Source: RNAcentral
GAUGAAGAACGCAGCGAAAUGCGAUAAGUAGUGUGUAUUGCAGAAUUCAGUGAAUCAUCGAAUCUUUGAACGCACAUUGCGCCCCUUGGUAUCCCGAGGGGCAUGCCUGUUCGAGCGUCAUUUCACCACUCAAGCCUGGCUUGGUGUUGGGCGACGUCCUCUUUGGGGACGCGCCUCGAAACGCUCGGCGGCGUGGCACCGGCUUUAAGCGUAGCAGAAUCUUUCGCUUUGGAAGUCGGGGCCCCGUCUGCCGGAAGACCUGCUCGCAAGGUUGACCUCGGAUCAGGCAGGGAUACCCGCUGAACUUAAGCAUAUCAAUAAGCGGAGGA